GAUCCUGGCUCAGGACGAACGCUGGCGGCGUGCCUAACACAUGCAAGUCGAACGGAAGCAGAGAUUUCGGUUUUUGCUUUAGUGGCGAACGGGUGAGUAACGCGUGAGGAACCUGCCUUUCAGUGGGGGACAACAGUUGGAAACGACUGCUAAUACCGCAUAAUGCUUUUUGAUGGCAUCAUUGAAAAGCCAAAGAUUUAUUGCUGAAAGAUGGCCUCGCGUCUGAUUAGCUGGUUGGUAGGGUAACGG
This 249-nucleotide ribosomal RNA is filed under the name uncultured bacterium. Its description in RNAcentral is "partial 16S ribosomal RNA". It matches the Rfam family "Bacterial small subunit ribosomal RNA", at positions 15 to 263 of the family's 1533-position model. The record is from RNAcentral.